UUGGCUUUUUGCUUGUGCAACAACUUUCACCUGGCAUACCUUGCAUUCAUAUGUUACGGCUUUUCUCGCCUGACUAAAUUGUGGGUUUCUUCUGUUUUGUAUGCCUCUCACAUAAGGCAUCUUUUUCGGUUGCAUCAGGUUCUUUCGUCUCGUGUCAUGCUCAUGACAUCAGAUUAAACCUUAAUGCUGUUUCUUUGAACCACAACAUUAACUGGUGUGUUGAUGUAGUGGUGUAUUGAACAUUGCUUGGUCUCUUUAAUAUAGAACAUGAUAUGGUCAUGGGUCGCAUGUGAUCCUUGUUAUGUCCCAUUUUAUGUAGUUAUUUACUACUUUACCUAAAAUGACUGCUCAACUCACAUAGGUUUAUACUAGUGCGUUGUGUUGAGUCUAACAUUGAAGUUACCUGGUUGAUCCUGCCAGUAGUCAUAUGCUUGUCUCAAAGAUUAAG
RNAcentral lists this unclassified non-coding RNA (448 nucleotides) under Brickellia diffusa. Its description in RNAcentral is "partial contains external transcribed spacer and 18S ribosomal RNA". The stretch from base 401 to 448 matches the Rfam family "Eukaryotic small subunit ribosomal RNA", at positions 1 to 48 of the family's 1831-position model. The record is from RNAcentral. Lineage: Eukaryota; Viridiplantae; Streptophyta; Magnoliopsida; Asterales; Asteraceae.